UACGGAGGGUGCAAGCGUUAUCCGGAUUCACUGGGUUUAAAGGGUGCGUAGGUGGGUUUGUAAGUCAGUGGUGAAAUCUCCAAGCUUAACUUGGAAACUGCCGUUGAUACUAUAAAUCUUGAAUGUUGUGGAGGUGAGCGGAAUAUGUCAUGUAGCGGUGAAAUGCUUAGAUAUGACAUAGAACACCAAUUGCGAAGGCAGCUCGUUACACGAAUAUUGACUCUGAGGCACGAAAGCGUGGGGAUCAAACAGG
This 253-nucleotide ribosomal RNA is filed under the name uncultured bacterium. RNAcentral's name for it is "partial 16S ribosomal RNA". It matches the Rfam family "Bacterial small subunit ribosomal RNA", at positions 524 to 776 of the family's 1533-position model. The record is from RNAcentral.